Molecule: small nucleolar RNA, 132 nt
Organism: Arvicanthis niloticus (Nile rat)
Lineage: Eukaryota; Metazoa; Chordata; Mammalia; Rodentia; Muridae
Product: small nucleolar RNA SNORA17
Source: RefSeq, a predicted model, not a curated record
ACUGCCCCUAGAGGCGCUGGAGCGUGGCUGCUGUUUCCCGUGUGUGUCAGUAGGUGGCAGAGAGGAGAGAGGCUAUGUCCACACUCGGAGUUCUGAUCUAUGAACAUCUGAAUAGAUUAAUAGCCUAAUGCU